This 74-nucleotide transfer RNA is filed under the name Verrucomicrobiota bacterium. RNAcentral describes it as "Verrucomicrobia bacterium tRNA-Gln". It matches the Rfam family "tRNA". Rfam says of the family: Transfer RNA (tRNA) molecules are approximately 80 nucleotides in length. Lineage: Bacteria; Pseudomonadati; Verrucomicrobiota. The record is from RNAcentral.
UACCCCGUGGUGUAACGGUUACACAGCGCCCUUUGGAGGCGUUAUUCUUGGUUCGAAUCCAAGCGGGGUAGCCA